RNAcentral lists this ribosomal RNA (253 nucleotides) under uncultured bacterium. Its description in RNAcentral is "partial 16S ribosomal RNA". It matches the Rfam family "Bacterial small subunit ribosomal RNA", at positions 524 to 776 of the family's 1533-position model. The record is from RNAcentral.
UACGUAGGGGGGCAAGCGUUGUCCGGAUUUAUUGGGCGUAAAGAGCGUGUAGGCGGCCAUACAGGUCAGCUGUGAAAACUCGAGGCUCAACCUCGAGACGUCGGUUGAAACCGUAUGGCUAGAGUCCGGAAGAGGAGAGUGGAAUUCCCGGUGUAGCGGUGAAAUGCGCAGAUAUCGGGAAGAACACCCGUGGCGAAGGCGGCUCUCUGGGACGGUACUGACGCUGAGACGCGAAAGCGUGGGAGCGAACAGG